RNAcentral lists this long non-coding RNA (9645 nucleotides) under Cricetulus griseus (Chinese hamster). RNAcentral describes it as "lncRNA (ENSCGRG00015030323.1)". The record is from RNAcentral. Lineage: Eukaryota; Metazoa; Chordata; Mammalia; Rodentia; Cricetidae.
GGGAAAUGUAGUAAAAAGGAGUCUUGUGGUCCAGGCAGGAAGUGACGUAGCAGGCAAAUUCAUAUAUAAGCAGGGACAAACAGGAAGUUCCCCUCCACUCUUCCUCCCCUCUCUCUGUGGAGUCGCCAUGUAACCACCAGGAAGACAGGAUGCAAGGCCUAUAUCCUCCAUAAGAUAAGUCUUAUGAUUAUGGUUGAUAAUUAAGACUGAGCUAGCAGAUGAGAAAUCCAAGUCAUUAGCCAAGCAGCAUUUUUACCUAAUAGAAGUCUCUGUGUGUUACUUGGGACCUUAACUUGGCGGAGGGCAGAACUCUCUCGGCCUGGCGGGAAGUGCCCACAUGGCUGCAGGGCUCAGGUGACUUGGGGGGGGAGACUUAUCACAACAGUGCAUGCCUUUAAUCCCAGCACUGGGGAUACAGAAACAGGCCGAUCUCUGUGAGUUCAAGGCCAGCCUGGUCUACAAUGCCAGUUCCAGGACAAUUAGGGCUGUAACACAGAGAAAACCUGUCUUGAAAAACCCAAAGAAAACAAAACAAAGUCCCUGUUGUCACAGACCACUCUCUUGCUCUCUCACCCUGCUGUCUGUCUCUGUCUCUCUCUGGCCCCCACUCUGAGAUGGCCUCCUGCUCCCAAUAAAUCCCUUGCUUGAGAUCUUUGUGUGGUGUUGUUUCUGCACCAUCCCUUAGCCCAGACGCACCAAGUUACUCUGUCACAUGAACCCUAACAGGGACUUCCCUUGAUCCUGGAACUGUGAACUGGGUCUUUGUUCCCGUUUUGGCAGGUGUUGGGACUUAUGUGCUGGGUCUGAUGGUACCUCCAACAUGUCAUCAGUUUGCUAUAAGUGUUGCAGUUCUGAAGAAAAAAGGCUUCCCCAACAGAUGUGUUACAGCUCUGCUUCAGGGGACAGUUUCCCCAGUGCAAGUGUUAGACUCUGAAGGGGAAAGUAAUCUGGCAGUCGGGAGCCAAGAAACACAAAAUCAUACCACACAGCCACCCUUCCCAAAGAGAUUUAUUGGGAGGGGAAAAAAUAGGAGGGUGUCUGCCUCUGCUCGGGCAAGAAGCAGCAGAGAAGUGAGCACAAGACAGGGUUUAUGUAGGAUUGGGGGUGUGUGCUUUCCAGGGUGACCUGGGGUUGGUGGGAUUUUUGUGGCCUGAUCUUAGAACUGAGAGGCCAGAACUGCUGUUCCCUGCUUAGUACAAAGGAUGGUUGGAGGAGCCUGACUCCUUGACCUGUGUAUGUCUAAACCCGGAAAAGGAAUUCACCCCCAGGCUAUGACAGUAUCCAAAUGCCAGCUUUGUUCUUGGAAAAGCAGAUGAUUGACUGCCUGAUGGCCAGCACACCUGGCCAGGAGAUGAGACAGGGCUAUAGAAAUUCCCCAAUCCCUUCCCAAGAGCAAUGACUUACUUGGUAGUUUUUCCCUUUAUAACCCUACAACUGAGGCACAGGGCCUUCUCCCACACUGUCACACCAGCUUGCUGGAUGAGGUCCCUGCCGAGGGAGGCUUGUAUUCAAUAAAAAAACAAAAAACAAAAAAACUGUGCGAUUGGAUCCAUGAGUCAGCUCCUUGGUGUGAAGGGACCAGACCCUCACCCAGCCCCCUGCUUUAGCAGCCAAUACAGGCUGCAGAAAAGACCCAGCAAGGUGUAGGCCUCUGACUCAGCACCUGUGCUGAACCCCCCCUUCCCUCCCAUUUCAGGACCUUCCAAUCACUAGGAACCCAGAUACCCUUCAUGUAGCAAUGGACCAACCAGAAGUUAGCUCUGAAAUGGGGAUUGUAGCAACUGCCCAGGGAUGGCCUUUAGGCAUAGCAACCAUUUCUGCAGUUGCAGCUGGCCAAUCAACACGGGACAGGUUGCCCAAACUCGGAGGUGCACCAAUCCUGAGACUGUUGCUAUGCAACUAGCAGACCUCCAGACACUCCCCUUGACCUAGCCCAAUAAAUUCCCUGCCCCACUGCUGCUCAAGGUCCUUCUUGCUCCACCAGCUGUGUUGGAUGGAGAGAGGACAGAGUUAAUACAGUUAUCUCAUUAAUUAAUUAAUCAAAGACUCUGCUUUUGCAUCGGAUCAGGUGUCUUGGUGAUUUGGGGGUUUGGAGUUUGGGCACAGGCGGUCUUUUGGGGGGGUCUUGUGGACUGGGCAUAAUGACAGCAAGCUUAGGGAUUAGUGGGAUUCUGUGCUCAGCCUCUGUGGCAAGCUCAGGAUGGGAGUGGUGGGAUUUCAUGCUCAGGGAUUUGUGGGAUUGUUUCUUGGCCCUGGUCUUGGUAUUAGGAAUAUGGACUAGCAGGAACCUUGGCGGAUCCCACAGCAGGUGAGAGAUGGUAGUGGGUGACAGACGGCGGGCAGAUGAGAAAGAGACCUGCAGACAUAACCUACACAGAAAGUUUUCUUGGGGUUGGUAAGAGAGUAAGGGAAGCAAAGAGAGAAGAGGUACAGAGACAGUGGCAGAGACAGAGGGGACAGACGGAGCUGCCUCCUCAGAGAGAGGGCACAAGAAUGAGAGUGGGGAGAGUUUGCCUCUUCAAGGACCAGGGCAGCCUGCUGGCCCAGAGGGAUGGCAAGGUCACAAGGGGUGGGGCCAGAUCUGUCUGGGUUACAGUGUUCCUCUCUUUCUUAUUAAAAGGUGAGAGGUAAGAGACAGAGUCAGAGUUUAUGGCACAGAUUAAUCACAGGAGUUACAGACAAAGAGAGGCACGAUGGAGAAGACUGAUACAUACCAAGUGUGGGUACGGGCUUCUCAAUCGAGAGUCACAUUUACAAGUUUUGUUGUGCCCAAAUUCUGAACACCAAAAUCACCAAGAGGUCCAUUUCGAUGCAAAAGCAAAGAGUCACUUAUUGCAGUUGUAUAAUGAGCUAACCCCAUUAGCUGGGGCCUUUCAUUCAUCCACCAUGGCAGAUGGCUGGGGAAAGACCCUGAGAAACCAAGAGACAGGGUAUUGGGACUAAAACACCAGGCUGACCCCGCCCCCUGACAAUGGGUGGGGCACGUGUUAUUCUUUUGCUUAAAUUAGAAAUUUAAGAGAGAUGGACAUGGAACACGAACUAUAGAGCGCACAUUAACAGGUUUAUUAUAGGGUGGGACAGGGAGAGAAAUGAAAGAAGAGAGAGUAAGAGAGAAGAGAGAGGUUUAAAUGGGGGAUCUCACGAAUUCCCACUGAGUCCCUAUACAGCCCCACAAUGAGUGAUGUAGCCAUGACGUGGCCAUGCCACACAGGGCCCUUAAGCUGCCUAGGUAUCAGCCUGAACCUUUCACUCCCACCUUUACUUAUUAUUAAAAAGGUGGGGUGUUAGACGUGGCAGGUUAGGAAAUAAGGACGUUGAGUUCUCAUAACUACUUCCUGCUGAGAUGGGGGGUGUUGACCAUCUUUGGGGAACCUGAGAAAGCUGGGGUGCUGCCACGUCCUGGGGUAGCUGGUUGUUUCAGCGCGGUCCAGGCUGUAUGGAACUCUGGCACCUCUUAGACCUGGCAAGAUGUUAGAAGAGCAGAGGACAAGGUUAAGUUUAGGAAAAAUGUUUUCUUAGGUCCUGAUACUUAAGGGGAGGAUUGUAAGAUGAAGGAGGGGUUCCUGAGGAGUCCCAAGAUGAGGGACGGGAAUCUGGGACCAGGGAAAGGUUGAAUAAUAUUUAUUUGGAGUGAAUCUGACCUGUUUGAAUCUAAUUCAGCUCCAUGGAACUUACAAAAAUCCUUAAGAGUUUGUGGAAACAUAAAUUUUAGACUCAUUAGCAGCAUAUUCUUGUUAGAAGCAACUUGGCUGAAAGCAUUAACAUUUUUAAAUUGACAUAUUUUUUAGGACAAUGAAAAGCAUCUUAAUCUUGACGUUGUAGUUAUGAUCGUAUAGUGGUAUUGUAGAACUUUAAGCUGGCCAGACUACCAGUCAUCCAAAGCAUCAGAGUUCUUGAGAAGGGUAAGAUUUUACCUGAGUUAAUGAUUAAGGGAGAACAGAAACUUGCCAGCAGGCUGCAUGGACAGGCACCCCCAAGGUCCUCUAACCAUGGCUGUGGGCUGCAGGACACCUGCCUUCUGGUGUUAGCAUGGGACCUGUGGAUUAGGGACUGUAGGAAGGCUCUCCUACCAUUGACCUAAGCAACAUGGGGAAAGUCGAUUCCACUGUCCUCUUGUCCAAGGUCCAAAGAGUCCUUUGCAGCAGUUGAGGCAAAGGGCAGGGUUGUUCAGUGGCCAGCGUUGUCACUUUUGUGGCUGGAAUUUCUUCAGUGCCCACCAGUCUUCUUGGAGGAAAUGAGGUGGGGCCAGCAGUUGGCCUAUCUCUCUGUUAUGAAAAGCUUUUUAAUAAAACAUUUUAAAUGCCAUGUUCUCUAGAUCUCUGAGCAUUUGAGGGCUGUCUGUCUGAUUAGUAUCUCAGCAGUCAAAAUUUUGCCUUUAGUUAGAGAAAAAUCCCUUUUUGUAAUAAAAAGGUGUACCUUUGUAAACGGUUUACAGGAUAGACUGAGUGGUAUAAAUAUUUUGUUAAUUUGAAAUAGACCAUUAUGACUUUUAAAUGUUCAUCAUCAUUUAAAGAUACAUAACAGUUUAGAAUAUGAGACUUAGCACAGUUAAAUUUAAGUUGCAUAUCGAAUUACCUAAGUAUAAGGCUAAAUUUAAAUCACAUGUACAGAGAAAAGCAGACACAUCAGGAGAUUUAAUGAGACAGACUGGAAACUGUCAGUAACAAGAAGACAGGUCUGCAGCAGGAAAAAACAGGGGGCCCUGGAAAGGCAGAGUAUCCUGUAAACAAGCCAUGGGCAACAGGGCCAGUGAAAGAAGAAAUCAGAGGCAAAAAAGAUCUGGCAGCCAGGCCAGGUUUGCUGACAUAGGCGGCUGGAGUGGGUGGGCGUGCCUACAGCUAGGUCACGUGGUCAAUAUGGCAGGCCCGAGCUAGGCCACAUGGCAAAGAUGGCCUGAACCUUUCAGGUUUAAAGACAAAGGGGAGAGCAUAGGCAGAGGCAGAGACCUGGAACCAUGUGAGGAGACAGGGAACCAGAUGUAGCAGCCGGGGGGGGGGGGGGGGAGUUAAAAAAAGACAGCAGGGUAAGCCAAAUGGUUGGAAGGGCAGCUCAACCGUCUGGGCUGGAGAAGUUUGGGGUGUGGGUGUGGCAUGCAAGCCAAUAGGACCCCUGUAGGGGCUAAGGGGUGCUGAUAUGUUGGGCAGGCAUCUCAGCCAUUUGUCCUCAGGUCUGUGACUAACAGUCUUCCUUUGCUGUUUGAGUUGUCUUUAAGGAACACUUAUAACUGCAGAUGAUUGUCUUUACCAGUGGUGUUGAAAUUUCUGGACACUCAGCAGGGAAGGCAACCGAAAGGCUUCUUCCUGUUCCCUUUCAUUUCCUGCCUCGCCUUGGGAAGCCCUCUGUGUUGUGGUCCCAGGACGGGUUGUUCCAGGAAGUUGUGGCUGGGAAGGGUAGCUCAAGAAACCAUUACUUACUAACAGGUUCUCACUGAGGCUGCUGCCUCCUUCCUGUUCCUCUUUCUCAAAGGCAGGGCUGACAGUGCAGAGCUCCAGUAGGGUCUGAGGGACUUUGGUUUCGAUUCCUGGCCCUGCCUUGGGAAUAUUAACAGGGAAAGAAGAAAUGAAACUAUGCGUGUGAGGUGCUGGGCACCCUGCCCGGUCCCUGUAGGAGGGGCCAUUUCAUGCUGUACACACGGCCUUUGCUCAACCCACACCCGUCAAGUUCUUUGUCUCCUGAACUCUGUGCUGUUAGAACACCAAGUGUGUGUUGUCAGUUCCUGCCACCCUUUGCAGGCACCACCUCUACCAACACACUGAUUGCCACAGUGCAGAGACUCUGGGUCACUUUCACUCUUUCUGGGAGGAAGGGAGCCAGAGCAGUUGACUUCAGGUGUGUGGUGCAGAAACCCAUUCAGUGUGCUUUCUUCUAGAAACCAGGACCACCAGCCCAGGAUGGCCCCACCCACCAUGGGCCUGGUCUUCCACCAUCAAUCACUAAUUAAGAAAAUGCUCUGCAGCUGGAUCUCUUGGAGGCAUUCCCUUCUCUCAGAUGACUUCAGAUUGUGUCAAAUAGACAUAAAAGUGUCCAGCACAGUGUUAAGUUUGUAAACCUCCAUACAGACAUUCAUGGUCUAGUAGAAACUGAUGAUAUAAAGAAGGUAUUGAUUUUUGUUUUUCCCUUUUUUCAUAUUUAUUGCAUGUGUAAAUGUGUCUAUGUAUAUACCUAUAUGUGUGUGAGUAACUCUACCAGUUGAGCUGUCUCACUGAGCCCAGGUUUUUCUUUUUCUUUUUAUGUGUAUGAGUGUUUCGCCUCCAUGUAUAUCUGUGCAUCACAUGUGUACAGUGUUAGGUUUCUGCUUAAAUUAAAAAGAAAGGAGAGGCACAAGAUGAGACAUGAGACUAAGAGAAUGCAUUAACCAGUUUAUUAUAGGCCUGGCAGAGUAGACAGAGUAAGAGAGAAGACAAACAGAGUUAAUGGCUGACGGCCAUGGCCAGUUUCGAGAGAAAGAGGGGCAGAGAGAGAGCGAAGAAGAGGCACAGAAGCAGGGACAUUGGAACUUUUAAAGGGAAGACUGCACAAGCGCAUUGAGGUUCCACGCAUGCGCGGAGUCCUCACGAAUGCUGUAAUGCAUGACUGGUGAUAUAGUGAAGGGACCAGUUCCCCAUUUCAGCAGCUGUAACAGCCGAACACGUGCUUGUCUGACCUUGUCUUAGUCAGUAAGGUCAGAUGCCUGCCUCAUGGCAAGGAACCAAUCAUAAGUUAGCUGGUGGCGCUAUGCUUUACGGCUCUGGGUGUGCUUUGCGGACAAGCACACAGCAAUGAUGCAGAGCAUAGCAACCACCCUGGGAGGGCCUAUGGGCCAUAACAACCAGUUGACCAAUCAACACAGGGCAAGCCCUCCAAGCCUGGAGGCACACCAAUCCUGAACCUGUGUGUACCCCUAGACACUCCCCUUACGCUGCCCUAUAAGAUCUCUAUGCAGAGCUUCGAGCUGUCUUUCCUAGCCAUCCUCCAUGGUGGGUGGGUGGAAGACCCGAGCUAACAUGGGGUUUCUGGGGGACCAAAGUAUUUCCGCUAUGGAAUAUUUUGAGAUUCAGCCUUGUGUCUCACUAAACAUGGAGCACAGGAAAGCUCCGGCCCACUAUUGGAUUGUUAAUGUCAAUAAAGCUACCAAUGUUUACCAUGGCCUGAGGGUAAUAUGCCUCUUAUUUGCAUCUGUAUGUGCCUAAGCAUCUGAAUAGGCCCUCACCUGGGCGGAGGAGAGAGGGGUGUGAAUAACUUGUGAAUAUAGAAGGUUAGGAAGAGAGGCGAGAGGUGAGAGCAGCACGGGAACAAAGAAAGAGGAUGAUUCCCUCGUGGUAUUGGCAGGAUGGUUAAGAAACACCAGAAAAGAUGGCUAAUAAAGAAAUGACUCUAGUUCCACAACAUGGAACUGAGAGCUCUCUGAAGAUGGUAAGAUGCCUGUGUUUGGUCUUUAUCGCCGUUGGGUUGCUCGGAGCUUCCAGGUCCACACCCCCCCACUCAGGUAGAACCUCAUGGACUAAGGCUGAGACAUCGUGGGCCAUGACAGAGGUGAGCUCAUUAAACAACAAUAAAGCCUCGUGCAGUUUGCAUCAAGCUUUUACCGCCUGGUAAUUGGGGUGACCGAGGUCCUGGGCUGAGAUCCUGGAGGCCUGAGCUUUCCGGGGGUCUUACAAUAGCACGUCCCUGUGUGGGGACCACACUUCCUCUAAUAAGGCCACUUCCAUGCCUAAUAGUGCCACUCCUUUUGGGGGGCAUUUUCUUUCAAACCAUCACAAGCAGCCAGUGCUCUUAACUGCUGAGGUUUUCACACUGCCUCAGCCUCACAAGUGGGGGGGGUAAUUUAAGGGUUAGUCUUCAGGUUUGUUUGUUUUCCCCAUUUUCCUUUGAGUCUGAAACUCGUGACAUGCACAGGCUGGUAAUGAUACUCCUGCUGUAGACUCUUGUGUGCCGUGAUUAUAAGCACGAACCGCACACCCGCUUUGGUUGUAUGUUUUGACUGUGGUACGGCACUGUUUAUCAGGCAAGGUGAGGCUAUUUCCUCAUACUUUGGCGAAUUGCUUUGCAUCUCCCAGUGUGAGUCACAAAACUUACAAGGUUACACUGAGAGACUUUAGUGACCCAACUCUACAAAUGCUUUUCCUUUAAGUAUAUUCCCUUGAGCACAAUUCCCAUGUAAUUUCCAACAGAUAUUUGUUUUAAAAUAUAAUUUUCAGCCCUUAUUUAAGCAGACUAGGUCCUAUGAGCACCUCAUGCUAUGAUGAGACCAAGGACAUAAAUUGCUUUUCUACUGUACAAAGAGUAAAAUGCUACGAGAGGGCUAAGAUGGCUCAGUGGGUAAAAGUGCUUGCUGCCACGCCUGACAUCCAGAGUUCAAUACCAAGAACCUACAUGAUAAAGGGGACUUCCAUAAGUGACCUCUAACCUACAGACAGACAGACACAGACACACACACAGACACACAGACACACAGACACACACACACACACACAUACACACACACACACUUACUCAGAAUUAAAACUAAUAAGAAAAUAAAACCUCACUUCAAAAACAGGACACACACACAGAGAAGAGCAGUAGUUAUCAAAUUCAGAACUCCCAGUGUACAGUAGGCACAGGCUCCAAGCUGUCUAGGAGGACUGCGUGCCUCACAAGGCCUGGAGAUAGAACACACAGUGCUCUUGCCUAAAAAGUGUCACCAAGCAGGCAGGUGAGGAAAGCACAUGGCACUCACUGGCAGAGUUAGACGUGGCUCCCAGCCAGGAUGUAAGUAGAGUAGCUGGCAGAAGACAACCAGGGUUGGGAGAGUGAGAUCCGAUGCCACCAAGCCAAAAGGGACAGCUGUGUCAGUGGAACCGUAAGGAGAUCUGAGGGAGGAGAAAGCAAAGGGAAGAGCCCAGAGAGUCAGGGGUCCUGACUGCUCCAAGCCGCCAGUGAGACUUGAGUACCGGCGGCGGCGGUGGCACUAACUAGGGUCACAACCAUUGGAGUCUGAAAACCACACACUUCUUAUGCAGUUGGACGUGCUCCCUCCGAUGGGCUAGUGUUGCUGUUGAGAGUGGGUUUCAUGUGCAAGCUGGCCUUGAAUUUGCUAUGUAACCAAGAAUGAAGACCCUCUGGUUCUCAUGCUUCCCCUCAUGAGUGCUCCAAUUACAUCGUAAUCUACCAACACAGACAGCUGUAUCCCCAACCCUGGGCUACUAUUGUUUUCAUCUUUGUGUUUUGUUUUUAUAUCCCUACCAAAGCCCUGCCCCCUCCCUCUAUCCACUCUUUCUUUUCUGUGUCUCUUCAGAUACAUAUGGGACUCCCCUGGGUCCCAGCCAGCCAUGGCAUAUCAAGUUGCAGUGAGACUAGGCUCCCCCUCUUCUGUUAAGGCUGGGUGAGGCAAUCCAGUAGGAGGAAAGGGUUCCAAAAGCAGGCAAGAAUCAGAGACAGCCCUGCUCCCACUGUUAGGAGUCCCACAAGAGCACCAAGUUACACAGCUGUAACAUAUAUGCAGAAGGCCUAGGUCACUGUUUUUUUGUUAAGUUUCAAACUGCAAUACCAAAGUAAGUGCUUUAAUGGCCACAUGUGUGAAAUGUGAAAAGUAUACUUUUGAUAACCAUUAAAAAACCAUUUUUAACCCUGCUAAAUUGUGUGUGUGUGUGUGUGUGUGUGUGUGUGUGUGUGUGUGUGUGUGUG